UUGUGUUUCAGUAUUUAUUUCCCUCUCCAGGAGGAGAUUUACUCUUCUACUGAUGUCUGUCGACAAGCAUAGGGUGCAGGCAGGUGUGUGC
Long non-coding RNA from Nanorana parkeri, 91 nucleotides. RefSeq lists it as uncharacterized. Lineage: Eukaryota; Metazoa; Chordata; Amphibia; Anura; Dicroglossidae. The record is from RefSeq and is a predicted model, not a curated record. The transcript has 3 exons.